ACUCCUGCGGGAGGCAGCAGUGGGGAAUCUUGCGCAAUGGGCGAAAGCCUGACGCAGCCAUGCCGCGUGAAUGAUGAAGGUCUUAGGAUUGUAAAAUUCUUUCACCGGGGACGAUAAUGACGGUACCCGGAGAAGAAGCCCCGGCUAACUUCGUGCCAGCAGCCGCGGUAAUACGAAGGGGGCUAGCGUUGCUCGGAAUUACUGGGCGUAAAGGGAGCGUAGGCGGACAUUUAAGUCAGGGGUGAAAUCCCGGGGCUCAACCUCGGAAUUGCCUUUGAUACUGGGUGUCUUGAGUAUGAGAGAGGUGUGUGGAACUCCGAGUGUAGAGGUGAAAUUCGUAGAUAUUCGGAAGAACACCAGUGGCGAAGGCGACACACUGGCUCAUUACUGACGCUGAGGCUCGAAAGCGUGGGGAGCAAACAGGAUUAGAAACCCCGGUAGUCCC
This 445-nucleotide ribosomal RNA is filed under the name uncultured organism. RNAcentral describes it as "partial 16S ribosomal RNA". It matches the Rfam family "Bacterial small subunit ribosomal RNA", at positions 335 to 797 of the family's 1533-position model. The record is from RNAcentral.